RNAcentral lists this ribosomal RNA (2916 nucleotides) under Pseudomonas rhodesiae. RNAcentral's name for it is "23S ribosomal RNA". It matches the Rfam family "Bacterial large subunit ribosomal RNA". The record is from RNAcentral. RNAcentral also lists the same sequence under 1 other name. Lineage: Bacteria; Pseudomonadati; Pseudomonadota; Gammaproteobacteria; Pseudomonadales; Pseudomonadaceae.
GUUAUAUGGUCAAGUGAAGAAGCGCAUACGGUGGAUGCCUUGGCAGUCAGAGGCGAUGAAAGACGUGGUAGCCUGCGAAAAGCUUCGGGGAGUCGGCAAACAGACUUUGAUCCGGAGAUGUCUGAAUGGGGGAACCCAGCCAUCAUAAGAUGGUUAUCUUGUACUGAAUACAUAGGUGCAAGAGGCGAACCAGGGGAACUGAAACAUCUAAGUACCCUGAGGAAAAGAAAUCAACCGAGAUUCCCUUAGUAGUGGCGAGCGAACGGGGACUAGCCCUUAAGUGGCUUUGAGAUUAGCGGAACGCUCUGGAAAGUGCGGCCAUAGUGGGUGAUAGCCCUGUACGCGAAAAUCUCUUAGUCAUGAAAUCGAGUAGGACGGAGCACGAGAAACUUUGUCUGAAUAUGGGGGGACCAUCCUCCAAGGCUAAAUACUACUGACUGACCGAUAGUGAACUAGUACCGUGAGGGAAAGGCGAAAAGAACCCCGGAGAGGGGAGUGAAAUAGAUCCUGAAACCGUAUGCGUACAAGCAGUGGGAGCAGACUUUGUUCUGUGACUGCGUACCUUUUGUAUAAUGGGUCAGCGACUUAUUUUCAGUGGCGAGCUUAACCGAAUAGGGGAGGCGUAGCGAAAGCGAGUCUUAAUAGGGCGUCUAGUCGCUGGGAAUAGACCCGAAACCGGGCGAUCUAUCCAUGGGCAGGUUGAAGGUUGGGUAACACUAACUGGAGGACCGAACCGACUACCGUUGAAAAGUUAGCGGAUGACCUGUGGAUCGGAGUGAAAGGCUAAUCAAGCUCGGAGAUAGCUGGUUCUCCUCGAAAGCUAUUUAGGUAGCGCCUCAUGUAUCACUGUAGGGGGUAGAGCACUGUUUCGGCUAGGGGGUCAUCCCGACUUACCAAACCGAUGCAAACUCCGAAUACCUACAAGUGCCGAGCAUGGGAGACACACGGCGGGUGCUAACGUCCGUCGUGAAAAGGGAAACAACCCAGACCGUCAGCUAAGGUCCCAAAGUUAUGGUUAAGUGGGAAACGAUGUGGGAAGGCUUAGACAGCUAGGAGGUUGGCUUAGAAGCAGCCACCCUUUAAAGAAAGCGUAAUAGCUCACUAGUCGAGUCGGCCUGCGCGGAAGAUGUAACGGGGCUCAAACCAUACACCGAAGCUACGGGUAUCACGUAAGUGAUGCGGUAGAGGAGCGUUCUGUAAGCCUGUGAAGGUGAGUUGAGAAGCUUGCUGGAGGUAUCAGAAGUGCGAAUGCUGACAUGAGUAACGACAAUGGGUGUGAAAAACACCCACGCCGAAAGACCAAGGUUUCCUGCGCAACGUUAAUCGACGCAGGGUUAGUCGGUCCCUAAGGCGAGGCUGAAAAGCGUAGUCGAUGGAAAACAGGUUAAUAUUCCUGUACUUCUGGUUAUUGCGAUGGAGGGACGGAGAAGGCUAGGCCAGCUUGGCGUUGGUUGUCCAAGUUUAAGGUGGUAGGCUGAGAUCUUAGGUAAAUCCGGGAUCUUAAGGCCGAGAGCUGAUGACGAGUGUUCUUUUAGAACACGAAGUGGUUGAUGCCAUGCUUCCAAGAAAAGCUUCUAAGCUUCAGGUAACCAGGAACCGUACCCCAAACCGACACAGGUGGUUGGGUAGAGAAUACCAAGGCGCUUGAGAGAACUCGGGUGAAGGAACUAGGCAAAAUGGCACCGUAACUUCGGGAGAAGGUGCGCCGGUGAGGGUGAAGGACUUGCUCCGUAAGCCCAUGCCGGUCGAAGAUACCAGGCCGCUGCGACUGUUUAUUAAAAACACAGCACUCUGCAAACACGAAAGUGGACGUAUAGGGUGUGACGCCUGCCCGGUGCCGGAAGGUUAAUUGAUGGGGUUAGCUAACGCGAAGCUCUUGAUCGAAGCCCCGGUAAACGGCGGCCGUAACUAUAACGGUCCUAAGGUAGCGAAAUUCCUUGUCGGGUAAGUUCCGACCUGCACGAAUGGCGUAACGAUGGCGGCGCUGUCUCCACCCGAGACUCAGUGAAAUUGAAAUCGCUGUGAAGAUGCAGUGUAUCCGCGGCUAGACGGAAAGACCCCGUGAACCUUUACUAUAGCUUUGCACUGGACUUUGAAUUUGCUUGUGUAGGAUAGGUGGGAGGCUUUGAAGCGUGGACGCCAGUCUGCGUGGAGCCAUCCUUGAAAUACCACCCUGGCAACUUUGAGGUUCUAACUCAGGUCCGUUAUCCGGAUCGAGGACAGUGUAUGGUGGGUAGUUUGACUGGGGCGGUCUCCUCCUAAAGAGUAACGGAGGAGUACGAAGGUGCGCUCAGACCGGUCGGAAAUCGGUCGUAGAGUAUAAAGGCAAAAGCGCGCUUGACUGCGAGACAGACACGUCGAGCAGGUACGAAAGUAGGUCUUAGUGAUCCGGUGGUUCUGUAUGGAAGGGCCAUCGCUCAACGGAUAAAAGGUACUCCGGGGAUAACAGGCUGAUACCGCCCAAGAGUUCAUAUCGACGGCGGUGUUUGGCACCUCGAUGUCGGCUCAUCACAUCCUGGGGCUGAAGCCGGUCCCAAGGGUAUGGCUGUUCGCCAUUUAAAGUGGUACGCGAGCUGGGUUUAGAACGUCGUGAGACAGUUCGGUCCCUAUCUGCCGUGGACGUUUGAGAUUUGAGAGGGGCUGCUCCUAGUACGAGAGGACCGGAGUGGACGAACCUCUGGUGUUCCGGUUGUCACGCCAGUGGCAUUGCCGGGUAGCUAUGUUCGGAAUAGAUAACCGCUGAAAGCAUCUAAGCGGGAAACUAGCCUCAAGAUGAGAUCUCACUGGAACCUUGAGUUCCCUGAAGGGCCGUCGAAGACUACGACGUUGAUAGGUUGGGUGUGUAAGCGCUGUGAGGCGUUGAGCUAACCAAUACUAAUUGCCCGUGAGGCUUGACCAUAUAACACCCAAGCAAUU